This 219-nucleotide long non-coding RNA is filed under the name Panax ginseng (ginseng). Its description in RNAcentral is "long non-coding RNA (PGIN_LNC013580)". Lineage: Eukaryota; Viridiplantae; Streptophyta; Magnoliopsida; Apiales; Araliaceae. The record is from RNAcentral.
AACAUGUCAGGUGAUCGAUGCCAAGGAAGUGUUAAUUUGGGUAUGUCAUGUUGUUUUACAAUUUGAUUCUUGAUUAUUAAUUUUUUCUCUAUUCAUAUCUUUAAUUUGUUGUUUGUUUUAUAUCUUUUACAAUUAGAUUCUUGAUUCUUGCUAUUUAAUUUUUUUUUCUUGAUCUGACUUGGGAUUUUAAUUUGUGAUUUUCUUUGUUUUAAUUUUUUG